This 1586-nucleotide ribosomal RNA is filed under the name Limosilactobacillus fermentum. Its description in RNAcentral is "bacterial SSU rRNA". It matches the Rfam family "Bacterial small subunit ribosomal RNA". The record is from RNAcentral. Lineage: Bacteria; Bacillati; Bacillota; Bacilli; Lactobacillales; Lactobacillaceae.
CCCAAGCUUAGAGUUUGAUCCUGGCUCAGGCUGAACGCCGGCGGUGUGCCUAAUACAUGCAAGUCGAACGCGUUGGCCCAAUUGAUUGACGGUGCUUGCACCUGAUUGAUUUUGGUUGCCAACGAGUGGCGGACGGGUGAGUAACACGUAGGUAACCUGCCCAGAAGCGGGGGACAACAUUUGGAAACAGAUGCUAAUACCGCAUAACAGCGUUGUUCGCAUGAACAACGCUUAAAAGAUGGCUUCUCGCUAUCACUUCUGGAUGGACCUGCGGUGCAUUAGCUUGUUGGUGGGGUAACGGCCUACCAAGGCGAUGAUGCAUAGCCGAGUUGAGAGACUGAUCGGCCACAAUGGGACUGAGACACGGCCCAUACUCCUACGGGAGGCAGCAGUAGGGAAUCUUCCACAAUGGGCGCAAGCCUGAUGGAGCAACACCGCGUGAGUGAAGAAGGGUUUCGGCUCGUAAAGCUCUGUUGUUAAAGAAGAACACGUAUGAGAGCAACUGUUCAUACGUUGACGGUAUUUAACCAGAAAGUCACGGCUAACUACGUGCCAGCAGCCGCGGUAAUACGUAGGUGGCAAGCGUUAUCCGGAUUUAUUGGGCGUAAAGAGAGUGCANGCGGUUUUUCUAGUCUGAUGUGAAAGCCUUCGGCUUAACCGGAGAAGUGCAUCGGAAACUGGAUAACUUGAGUGCAGAAGAAGGUAGUGGAACUCCAUGUGUAGCGNUGGAAUGCGUAGAUAUAUGGAAAAACACCAGUGGCGAAGGCGGCUACCUGGUCUGCAACUGACGGUGAGACUCGAAAGCAUGGGUAGGGAACCAGGAUUAGAUACCUGGGUAGUCCAUGCGGUAACNGAUGAGUGCUAGGUGUUGAGGGUUUCCGCCNUUUCAGUGCCGGAGCUAACGCAUUAAGCACUCCGCCUGGGGAGUACGACCGCAAGGUGAAACUCAAAGGAAUUGACGGGGGCCCGCACAAGCGGUGGAGCAUGUGGUUUAAUUCGAAGCUACGCGAAGAACCUUACCAGGUCUUGACAUCUUGCGCCAACCCUAGAGAUAGGGCGUUUCCUUCGGGAACGCAAUGACAGGUGGUGCAUGGUCGUCGUCAGCUCGUGUCGUGAGAUGUUGGGUUAAGUCCCGCAACGAGCGCAACCCUUGUUACUAGUUGCCAGCAUUAAGUUGGGCACUCUAGUGAGACUGCCGGUGACAAACCGGAGGAAGGUGGGGACGACGUCAGAUCAUCAUGCCCCUUAUGACCUGGGCUACACACGUGCUACAAUGGACGGUACAACGAGUCGCGAACUCGCGAGGGCAAGCAAAUCUCUUAAAACCGUUCUCAGUUCGGACUGCAGGCUGCAACUCGCCUGCACGAAGUCGGAAUCGCUAGUAAUCGCGGAUCAGCAUGCCGCGGUGAAUACGUUCCCGGGCCUUGUACACACCGCCCGUCACACCAUGAGAGUUUGUAACACCCAAAGUCGGUGGGGUAACCUUUUAGGAGCCAGCCGCCUAAGGUGGGACAGAUGAUUAGGGUGAAGUCGUAACAAGGUAGCCGUAGGAGAACCUGCGGCUGGAUCACCUCCUGUCGACGCGU